CCCUUAGAUGUCCUGGGCCGCACGCGCGCUACACUGAGUGUCUGAGAUACGAGUCUGCCUGGUCCGGCAAGGUCUAGGUAAUCGCCAAAAGACACAUCAUGCUUGGGAUAGAUUAUUGCAAAUAUUAAUCUUGAACGAGGAAUUCCUAGUAAGCGCAAGUCAACAGCUUGCGUUGAUUACGUCCCUGCCCUUUGUACACACCGCCCGUCGCUACUACUGAUUGGAUGUUUAAGCGAGGUUCUCGAACUGCUAGCGACUUAGCUUCGGUGAGGUCGCAGUGUGGGAAGUGAACCUAGCUUUGGUGUCUAGAGGAAGUAAAAGUCGUAACA
Molecule: ribosomal RNA, 329 nt
Filed under: uncultured eukaryote
Lineage: Eukaryota
Description: partial 18S ribosomal RNA
Rfam family: Eukaryotic small subunit ribosomal RNA
Source: RNAcentral